GGGGGAUAAAUUAAUAAAGUAUAAAUAAUAAAAAAAUUUUUAAUAUUAAAAUAUUUUAAUGGGGGUUAAAGUAUAUUUAAUAGAAAAAAUAAAAAAAUUUAUAGAAAAUUAGUAUUGUAAAAGAAAUUUGAAAUAUAUUGAAAAUAAAUUUACUUAAAAGUAAAUUUAAUUUAUUGUAUCUUGUGUAUCAGAGUUUAUUAAUAAUAAUUUUUAUUUAAAAAUUUUCUCGAAUUUAAAAGAGAUAAUUAAUUAUUAAAAUUAAUGUUGUAUAAUUAUUUUAAAUAAUUAAUUGGAAAUGAAAUGUUAAUCGUUUUUAAAUAUAUCUAGUUUUUUUAGAAAAAAAUUUAAUUUUAAAUUUUAAAAAAGAAUAUAAUUUUAAUUAAUUAAAAUUAUAUUUUUAAAAUUAAAUAUUUUAAGGGAUAAGCUUUAAAAUAAAUUUUUAUAAUAAAUUUUAAUAAUAAUUAAAAUUUUUAAAAUUUAUAUUGUUUAUAAAUUAUAAUUUUUUAUAAAUAAUUUUAAUUAAAUUAAAAUUUUAAAUUUAUUUAAUUUUUUAUUAAAAAAUAUUUUGUAAUAAUUAAAAUUUAGAUAUAAUGAUAAAAUUAGUAUAUAAAUAAAUAAAUAUAAUUUAUUAUUUGAUAAUUUAAUAAAAGGAAUUCGGCAAAAAUUUAUAUUCACUUGUUUAUCAAAAACAUGUCUUUUUGAUUAAUAAUUUAAAGUCUAAUCUGCCCACUGAUAAUAUAUUAAAGGGCUGCAGUAUUUUGACUGUACAAAGGUAGCAUAAUCAUUAGUCUCUUAAUUGGUGACUUGUAUGAAAGAUUUGAUGAGAUAUAUACUGUCUCUUUUUAAUUUAUAAAAUUUAAUUUUUUAGUUAAAAAGCUAAAAUAUAUUUAAAAGACGAGAAGACCCUAUAGAGUUUUAUAUUUAUAUAAAUUAAAAUUUUUUAUAAGCUUUAAAAUUUUAAUUUAUAUAAAUAUUUUGUUGGGGUGAUAGAAAAAUUAAAAUAACUUUUUUUAUAAUUUUACAUUAAUAAAUGAAUAAAUGAUCCGUAAUUUACGAUUAUAAGAUAAAAUUACCUUAGGGAUAACAGCGUAAUUUUUUUUUUUAGUUCAAAUAAGAAGAAAAGUUUGCGACCUCGAUGUUGGAUUAAGAUAAAAUUUAAAUGCAAAAGUUUAAAAUUUUUGAUCUGUUCGAUCAUUAAAAUCUUACAUGAUCUGAGUUCAAACCGGUGUAAGCCAGGUUGGUUUCUAUCUUUAGAUUAAUAAAAUAUUUUAGUACGAAAGGAUCAAAUAUUUAAAAUAGUUUUAUUUAAAAGAAUUUUAAUAAUAGUAAAUAUUUUUAAAUAUG
RNAcentral lists this ribosomal RNA (1344 nucleotides) under Parnassius dongalaicus. RNAcentral describes it as "16S ribosomal RNA". The stretch from base 1080 to 1239 matches the Rfam family "Eukaryotic large subunit ribosomal RNA", at positions 2825 to 2984 of the family's 3401-position model. Lineage: Eukaryota; Metazoa; Arthropoda; Insecta; Lepidoptera; Papilionidae. The record is from RNAcentral.